RNAcentral lists this ribosomal RNA (433 nucleotides) under uncultured bacterium. RNAcentral describes it as "partial 16S ribosomal RNA". It matches the Rfam family "Bacterial small subunit ribosomal RNA", at positions 29 to 507 of the family's 1533-position model. The record is from RNAcentral.
AACGAACGCUGGCGGCAUGCCUAACACAUGCAAGUCGAACGAGACCUUCGGGCCUAGUGGCGCACGGGUGCGUAACGCGUGAGAACCUGCCCUUAGGUUCGGAAUAACUCCCCGAAAGGGGUGCUAAUACCGGAUAAUGUCUUCGGACCAAAGAUUUAUCGCCUUUGGAUGGGCCCGCGUUGGAUUAGCUAGUUGGUAGGGUAAAAGCCUACCAAGGCGACGAUCCAUAGCUGGUCUGAGAGGAUGAUCAGCCACACUGGGACUGAGACACGGCCCAGACUCCUACGGGAGGCAGCAGUGGGGAAUAUUGGACAAUGGGCGAAAGCCUGAUCCAGCAAUGCCGCGUGAGUGAUGAAGGCCUUAGGGUUGUAAAGCUCUUUUACCCGGGAUGAUAAUGACAGUACCGGGAGAAUAAGCUCCGGCUAACUCCGUG